Long non-coding RNA from Rana temporaria (common frog), 101 nucleotides. RefSeq lists it as uncharacterized. The record is from RefSeq and is a predicted model, not a curated record. NCBI's taxonomy places the organism in Eukaryota, Metazoa, Chordata, Amphibia, Anura, Ranidae. The transcript is spliced from 3 exons.
AGUGUUAUAUAAAAAAGAGGUAAGGGGGGAGUGUUACCUUCAAAAGAGGUAAGGGGGUAGUGUUACCUUCAAAAGAGGUAAGGGGGUAGUGUUAUAUAAAA